AACGAACGCUGGCGGCAGGCCUAACACAUGCAAGUCGAACGCCGUAGCAAUACGGAGUGGCAGACGGGUGAGUAACGCGUGGGAACAUACCCCUCGGUUCGGAAUAACUCAGGGAAACUUGAGCUAAUACCGGAUACGUCCGAGGUUUUAAUCGGCCUUGGAGAAAGAUUUAUCGCCGGAGGAUUGGCCCGCGUCUGAUUAGCUUGUUGGUGAGGUAAUGGCUCACCAAGGCGACGAUCAGAGCUGGUCUGAGAGGAUGAUCAGCCACAUUGGGACUGAGACACGGCCCAAACUCCUACGGGAGGC
Molecule: ribosomal RNA, 306 nt
Filed under: uncultured bacterium
Lineage: Bacteria
Description: bacterial SSU rRNA
Rfam family: Bacterial small subunit ribosomal RNA
Source: RNAcentral